Molecule: ribosomal RNA, 119 nt
Filed under: Pteropus alecto (black flying fox)
Lineage: Eukaryota; Metazoa; Chordata; Mammalia; Chiroptera; Pteropodidae
Source: RNAcentral
GUCUACAGCCAUGCCAUCCUGAACAAGCCCAAUUCCAUCUGAUCUCAGAAGCUAAACAGGGUCGGGCCUGGUUAAUGCUUGGAUGGAAGACCAGCUAGGGAGACCAGGUGCUGUAGGCA